Molecule: long non-coding RNA, 571 nt
Organism: Aphis gossypii (cotton aphid)
Lineage: Eukaryota; Metazoa; Arthropoda; Insecta; Hemiptera; Aphididae
Exons: 3
Source: RefSeq, a predicted model, not a curated record
AAGGCUCAAAAGUGCGGAAACUUAUGGCGACGUUUGAGCCUAAGGUAAACUAUAUUGUGCAUUAUAGGAAUCUGCAGCAGGCAAUCGAUAACGGGUUGAUAGUUGAAAAGGUAAAUAUUUAAUUUUACAUUAUUUUAAAAUAAAUGUUUUAACUUUUUUUUUUUUUUUAUAGGUACAUAGAGUCUUGGAGUUUAGCCAGUCGGAUUGGCUGGCCAAGUAUAUUCAGUUAAAUACCGAUAUGAGAAAGAAAGCGAGAAAUGAUUUUGAAAAAGAUUUUUUCAAGCUCAUGAAUAAUGCGAUUUUUGGGAAAACGAUGCAAUCUAAACGCAAGGAAAUAAAAAUGGAGUUGGUAUCAUGCGAGCGCCGACUCCAAAAACUGAUAAAUAAAACUACAUUUAAACAUUGUACAAGAUAAUAUAGCGAUACCCUUAGCGCUGUUACUUAGCAAAUAAAAUAAUCAAAUUUGAUAAACCUAUAUAUAUUGGAUUCGCGGUAUUGGACAUUAGCAAAACUUUGAUGUAUGAUUAUCAUUAUAAUGUGAUGCAGAGGGACUAUGGUGAAGACAUUACGC